UUCUCUUUUGUGUGCAAAGAAGUGGCUAGAAAAAAAAAACAAAAAAAGAAGUGGGGAACUAUCUUGUAAAGGGAAAUAUGAUUUACAAAUGCAGCUGCAAGAAAAAAAUAUAAAUAUAAUAAUUAAAUGGUGAAUUGUAUGUCUUUCAAUUUUCGUGCAGAAUGAUCAGAUCUAAGUAUGAUAACAACAGUUGGGCCCAAAUAUGGACCAUUGGGUUAAGCCCAUGGAAAUCAUGUAAUCAUGUUUGAAAGGAUGUAGAAAAUCCGUACGUUCCUUUACCAGUCACACCCAAAUUUUAUAUUA
This is a long non-coding RNA of Arabidopsis lyrata subsp. lyrata, 303 nucleotides long. RefSeq lists it as uncharacterized. The record is from RefSeq and is a predicted model, not a curated record. NCBI's taxonomy places the organism in Eukaryota, Viridiplantae, Streptophyta, Magnoliopsida, Brassicales, Brassicaceae. The transcript is spliced from 2 exons.